GGUCGAGUGAGACGCCACCUCCUGCCCGCGCCCACACCACGCCCCCAGCACCGCCCGUCACUGCGCCAGACUCCAGACUCCCCCGGAUAUCACUAUAAUGGCGUGGGGGGAGUCAGUCACACAACACCAGUGCGGUUUUACGUGACCCCACACAAAAAUGCUGCGAGGUGUCGGGGUGAGGAUGGUGGGAUGGUGGAAGCGGCGUAACCUGAGACGGGCGGGGAAGACAGGAAUGUGUGGUAAUCUCGAUCAUUUGUAACUCCGGCCAGGUGUUUCCUGUCCCGGGUCGGUGUUUUGGUGUUCUGGUGGUGGAAGGUUGACGUCACUCGUAUCCUCAAUUCUACUCUUCCUCCGGGCAUCCUUUCCCUCCUUCACUCCUCAGGACUCAGGGUCGGGGCGCGGCGGGAGGGAAGGCAGCGCGAGGGAGGGACGGAGCGGCUGGGGAGACUCGCCGAAGGAGGCACUUUUGGAGUAAGAAGAUCCUUUGUGGUUCUGGAGGCUCUUCGCUUCCUGCAAACCUUUCAGUGUCUGGAGACCUUGAAGACCAUGCAGACCCAGAAGACCCUGCAGACCCGGAAGACCACGCCCGCCCUCCUCGUACCUCCGCUUUAGUAUAGACCGCAGAGGCUCUGUGGAAGCGAGCGUCGGGUCCUCCAUCGGGUCUUCGGGGGAGUCGCUGGAGGCCGCUGCUUGGGGGUAACGGGGGAGGCUCGAGGUCGGCGUCUCCGGACAAGGCGGCGGCACGUUCUCAUUGUCGUCCUCCCCAUUGAACUCCGCCAGGGUAGCGCCUUCCCUCCUGGCGGAAUGGAGAAACAGUAGAUGAAAGAGAAGGAAGGAAGAGGCGGAACAGCAGGAAGACAGAGAGGAAGGGACGCAGAGAGAAGGGACGCAGAGAGAAGGGAGAGGAAAGAGCAACAUACCCCUCACUCCUGUGGCUCGCCUCGUAGGACUCCUUCAUGCGGUACAGCUGCUCCUGAAGCUUCCUAUACUCCAGCAGGAACUUCUCAAGCUGCGCCGCGUGGUACUCUAGAUUGCAAGGAUCCUUCGAGCCUCCUGCAGCGCCGCCGGCAGUCCCUCGCUCACCCCUGCGGCGCAACGGGGUAAAAGUGUUGGCGUGGCGCUGACGUCUGUAUGGAGAAGCGAACACAUAAAGAUGUAACACGGAAAAUGCUGCAAUGUCAAUAUGUUGUCAAUAUGUUUAUUUGUAUGUGCAGAAAAAAAAAUACAAAAAAAAAAUAGUGUAGAUGAUCGGUGUAUUGAUAUUCUUGUAUAAAACGAUGGAGAGAGUAAAGAUGAUAUUUUUAUUAAUGAUGUAUCUGUGUGUGUGUGUGUGUGUGUGUGUGUGUGUGUGUGUGUGUGUGUAGCAAAGUAAGUCAGAUAUAUGUAUUUUAAACAAUAUCAAUAAUGCUCGCUCGUUUCUAAAUAAAAAAAAAAACAUUACAAAAAGGCUGAAUUUAUUGAGGUAAAUAUGAUAUUAGAGGUUUCAGUCUUGUCAUAAACAUAAGAACAUAAGAAAAUAAGGAAAGUUACAAGGAGCCAUCAGGCCUUUACGUGGCAGUCCCUGACAUAAAUAUUUUGCUGAUACUAUUGAGAUGUUGAAAGCAAAAGUCUGUAUUGCAAAAUCAAAUGAUAUUAAUCUAGUAUUUUUUUUUUUUCAUAUUUCCUCGAGUGUUUAAUGUAAUGCUUAGUUUUGCAAGUCACCUGUGGGCUUCUUGCAAUACUUCACCAGCCUCGCAUGUACCAAUAUCCUCGAAGAAACUUGAACUCUUAAUAUAAAUUGUGUCGUAAAAGGUUCGAAGGCGUUGAUGAAAAAUUAUAUGUAGAAAAAGGAGUUAGGAUCUUUCUCUCGGCGACCAUAACGAAAUUUACGAAUCAGUGCAAUAGAAUGAAAACUUUACGACGGGAGCAAGACAAGUAAAGAAACAGUGAUAUGUUAAGAUAAAUUUAUAUAG
Molecule: long non-coding RNA, 1952 nt
Organism: Scylla paramamosain (green mud crab)
Lineage: Eukaryota; Metazoa; Arthropoda; Malacostraca; Decapoda; Portunidae
Exons: 6
Source: RefSeq, a predicted model, not a curated record